GCAAACAAAAGUGGAGACAUGGUCCUCCAUGAAAGCCGACUGACGGCAAUUUUGGGAUCCGGGGCUGACCAGUCAUUGACAACGCCGUUCAGGUCGACACUGUUCUGAGCAAGCAGCAGUUCGACGACCUUAACAUGGCCGCGUUCACAGGCAAUUAUCAACGCCGUUUUAUCAUCAGUGCCCAACGCCCGCAACGAAGCGCCGGCGCUUAAUGCUUUUCGUGCAAUAUCUUCAUCUCCAUAUUCUGCAGCCCAGAGCAGAGCGGAGCUAGCGCCGUAUCGAUAUAAGUCAGCAUUGAGAAGAGAGAACAAGCGGCGGUUUGUUUUCAACAAAGAAUUUAGAUCAGCAAGUGGUAAGAUUUUACCAAGGGCCAAAAAUAUUUCGUUAGGUAGGUGGAGAUAUUGCAUCUUUGAACUAUGCGGACAGUGGAAGCGAGGCUGUUGAACGCCGUGCUUGACCCUGUAUAUAAUUGCCAAAAAGAAAAAAGCCAGCGCGUGACGCGAAGGUCAACAUUCCAGUGUCCUGAGCCAGGGAGCAUAAAGUGCAAACGGCGACUAUUGCAAUUUCGUAUUGUCAGACCGGGAUAACGUCCGAAUAUUGCCCCAAAAACUGAGUAUCAAAAGAAUGUUGAAUCAGCUAUUCUAACUCUGAUAAUUGCAUGAUAAAACGACAGUAUUUAUAAGGAAGGGGAUGCUCGAUUAUACGAGCGAGGCAGUGCUCAGGCUUCAAAAUACUAGAGAGAGGUCUCAAAAUACCAGAUAUCUUUCUCAUGAGAUAUUAUCUCCAACACAUAUAUUACUGUUGAUAUAUAUACUCAUAUAUGUAGCGCG
This 830-nucleotide small RNA is filed under the name Histoplasma capsulatum. RNAcentral describes it as "hypothetical RNA". Lineage: Eukaryota; Fungi; Ascomycota; Eurotiomycetes; Onygenales; Ajellomycetaceae. The record is from RNAcentral. RNAcentral also lists the same sequence under 1 other name.